GCUGCCAAAAAGCAAUUAAAACACAGUACUGAUGGAAAUUACAAGAGGCAGUCUAAGUCAGAAGAAAUCAUUAAAUGCUAGGUCUUAUCAUUGGUGCUGCCACUGCUUCCUAAGAUCUGAUGGCCUUCUCAUCUGUCCUAUUGCUAUGUCCUCUGGAUCUACUAAAUGUUGUCAUAUGAUCUACUGUUGGAUCUUAAGGAAUUCUGAGUUUUAUCAUACUUCUCUUCCUGCUACACUCUACGAACUACCGAGCCUUUCCAUGUGUCUUGAAAAUGGAUCCACCUAAAUAAAUUUUUUUCUAAUUAAAUUAUGAACUCCCUAGAGUAUGGAGUACCUUGUUUUUUCUAUUUGCAUUCCCAACAUUUAGCCUGGUGUUCAGCAUAUAGUAGGCCCUCAGUAAAGGCUUUUAAAUCCAUUCUAUUCCAUCAUUUUAUGUACUAUCUUAGGGGUAGGGCAUUUAUAAUGUAAACUAUUACAAAAUAUUUUCUCCCCCCAAAUGAUUGAGAGUAUAUUUAUAACUACUAACCCAUAUAUCUAUGUUUAAAAAUCUUCAUAAAAUCUUUAUGAGAAUAAUCAAUAUGUAAAUUGAGGAUAGCUUUGAUUUAAAAACAAACUGGAAAAGGAAACAAAGUCUUUUCAAAGUAAUUUUCUAUAGCAAUUUAUAUAUUUCCAGUCUGACAAUUGACUGCAGGGUACAGAGGAAAUAUAUUCUUAUGUUUACUGUUUUUUAUUAUAAAAUAUUUAGUAAAAUAAAAUUUUGAAGUCAAUUUAUUAAACA
Molecule: long non-coding RNA, 778 nt
Filed under: Monodelphis domestica (gray short-tailed opossum)
Lineage: Eukaryota; Metazoa; Chordata; Mammalia; Didelphimorphia; Didelphidae
Description: lncRNA (ENSMODG00000047299.1)
Source: RNAcentral